This 236-nucleotide long non-coding RNA is filed under the name Anneissia japonica. RNAcentral's name for it is "uncharacterized LOC117124467, transcript variant X2". Lineage: Eukaryota; Metazoa; Echinodermata; Crinoidea; Comatulida; Comatulidae. The record is from RNAcentral.
CUGAGAAUGGCUCACAGAAUUUUGUGGACACUCAAGACUGUUGGUGGAAGAAGCUAGUGAAUUAAUUGUGGCAUCUGUCUAUAAUGAUACAAGGACUGUAAUUGGACACAAGAUUACAGCAAAAAGCCAGUCAACAGACAUGAUAUCGUCGGUAUCGUGGUUUGUUAGCUGCAGAAGUAGUCUAGCUUUUCUGCAUUAUGCCAUCGUUUUUUGACUUGAUGCAAAAUAACCCUGGA